This 253-nucleotide ribosomal RNA is filed under the name uncultured bacterium. Its description in RNAcentral is "partial 16S ribosomal RNA". It matches the Rfam family "Bacterial small subunit ribosomal RNA", at positions 524 to 776 of the family's 1533-position model. The record is from RNAcentral.
UACGGGGGGGGCAAGCGUUGUUCGGAAUUACUGGGCGUAAAGGGUCUGUAGGUGGCUUGCUAAGUCAGACGUGAAAUCCCUCGGCUUAACCGGGGAACUGCGUCUGAUACUGGCGAGCUUGAGUGCAGGAGAGGAACGCGGAAUUCCAGGUGUAGCGGUGAAAUGCGUAGAUAUCUGGAGGAACACCGGUGGCGAAGGCGGCCCACUGGAUCGGUACUGACGCUGAGGUGCGAAAGCGUGGGGAGCAAACAGG